Molecule: ribosomal RNA, 253 nt
Filed under: uncultured bacterium
Lineage: Bacteria
Description: partial 16S ribosomal RNA
Rfam family: Bacterial small subunit ribosomal RNA
Source: RNAcentral
UACAGAGGAUGCAAGCGUUAUCCGGAAUGAUUGGGCGUAAAGCGUCUGUAGGUGGCUUUUUAAGUCCGCCGUCAAAUCCCAGGGCUCAACUCUGGACAGGCGGUGGAAACUACCAAGCUGGAGUACGGUAGGGGCAGGGGGAAUUUCCGGUGGAGCGGUGAAAUGCGUAGAGAUGUGGAGGAACACCGAUGGCGUAGGCAGCCUCCUGGGCCAAUUCUGACGCUCAGGCACGAAAGCGUGGGGAUCAAACAGG